CCUACGGGUGGCAGCAGUGAGGAAUAUUGGUCAAUGGACGGAAGCCUGAACCAGCCAUGCCGCGUGCAGGAUGACGGCUCUAUGAGUUGUAAACUGCUUUUGUACGCGAAUAAUAGUUCUUACGUGUAGGGAUUUGCAUGUAUCUUACGAAUAAGGAUCGGCUAACUCCGUGCCAGCAGCCGCGGUAAUACGGAGGAUUCGAGCGUUAUCCGGAUUUAUUGGGUUUAAAGGGUGCGUAGGCUGUCGGAUAAGUUAGAGGUCAAAUGUCGGGGCUUAACCCCGUGCAUGCCUCUGAUACGGUUCGACGAGAGAGCGGAUGAAGCAGGCGGAAUGAGUAGUGUAGCGGUGAAAUGCAUAGAUAUUACUCAGAACACCGAUUGCGAAGGCAGCUUGCGAAUCCGUAUCUGACGCUGAUGCACGAAAGCGUGGGUAGCGAACAGGAUUAGAUACCCGUGUAGUC
This 460-nucleotide ribosomal RNA is filed under the name uncultured bacterium. Its description in RNAcentral is "partial 16S ribosomal RNA". It matches the Rfam family "Bacterial small subunit ribosomal RNA", at positions 338 to 795 of the family's 1533-position model. The record is from RNAcentral.